Molecule: ribosomal RNA, 796 nt
Filed under: uncultured Bacillota bacterium
Lineage: Bacteria; Bacillati; Bacillota
Description: bacterial SSU rRNA
Rfam family: Bacterial small subunit ribosomal RNA
Source: RNAcentral
AAAGGCCCCUUCGGGGGCCGAGUAGAGUGGCGUCCGGGUGAGUAACACGUGAGUAAUUUGCCUUCGGGUGGGGAAUAACAACCGGAAACGGUUGCUAAUACCGCAUAACGCAGCGGCACCUAAUGGUGACAGUUGUUAAAGCGGGGGAUCGUAAGACCUCGCGCCUGGAGAGAAGCUCGCGGCGGAUUAGCUAGUUGGUAGGGUAACGGCCUACCAAGGCGACGAUCCGUAGCCGGCCUGAGAGGGCGGUCGGCCACACUGACACUGACACACGGGUCAGACUCCUACGGGAGGCAGCAGUCGGGAAUUUUGGGCAAUGGGCGAAAGCCUGACCCAGCAACGCCGCGUGAAGGAUGAAGUUUUUCGGAAUGUAAACUUCACAAGAAUGGGAAGAAUAAGGAGGGGUUAAUACCCCCUCCGAUGACGGUACCAUUUGUAAGCUCCGGCUAACUCCGUGCCAGCAGCCGCGGUAAUACGGGGGGAGCAAGCGUUGUUCGGAUUUACUGGGCGUAAAGGGCGCGUAGGCGGCGCAACAAGUCACUUGUGAAAUCUCCGGGCUUAACUCGGAGCGGCCAAGUGAUACUGUCGUGCUAGAGUGCGGAAGGGGCAACUGGAAUUCUCGGUGUAGCGGUGAAAUGCGUAGAUAUCGAGAGGAACACCUGCGGCGAAGGCGGGUUGCUGGGCCGACACUGACGCUGAGGCGCGAAAGCCAGGGGAGCGAACGGGAUUAGAUACCCCGGUAGUCCUGGCCUUAAACGAUGGAUGCUUGGUGUCCGGGGUUACAUAGUCCCCGGGU